CCUACGGGGGGCUGCAGUAGGGAAUAUUGGGCAAUGGUCGGAAGACUGACCCAGCCAUGCCGCGUGCAGGAAGACGGCGCUCAGCGUUGUAAACUGCUUUUACUCAUGAAGAACGGCCAGAGUGCGCUCUGGUGUGACGGUAAUGAGGGAAUCAGCACCGGCUAACUCCGUGCCAGCAGCCGCGGUAAUACGGAGGGUGCAAGCGUUGUCCGGAUUUAUUGGGUUUAAAGGGUGCGUAGGUGGCUUGGUAAGUCUGACCUGAAAGUGGGCCGCUU
Molecule: ribosomal RNA, 275 nt
Filed under: uncultured Larkinella sp.
Lineage: Bacteria; Pseudomonadati; Bacteroidota; Cytophagia; Cytophagales; Spirosomataceae
Description: partial 16S ribosomal RNA
Rfam family: Bacterial small subunit ribosomal RNA
Source: RNAcentral